AAACUAACUAGGAUUCCCCUAGUAACGGCGAGUGAACCGGGAUGAGCUCAAAUUUAAAAUCUGGCGUCUUUCAGGCGUCCGAGUUGUAAUCUAUAGAGGCGUUUUCCGCGCCGGACCGCGUCCAAGUCUCUUGGAAUAGAGUAUCAAAGAGGGUGACAAUCCCGUACUUGACGCGACAACCGGUGCUCUGUGAUACGUUCUCAAUGAGUCGAGUUGUUUGGGAAUGCAGCUCUAAAUGGGUGGUAAAUUCCAUCUAAGGCUAAAUAUUGGCGAGAGACCGAUAGCGAACAAGUACCGUGAGGGAAAGAUGAAAAGCACUUUGGAAAGAGAGUUAAACAGCACGUGAAAUUGUUAAAAGGGAAACGAUUGAAGUCAGUCGUGUGAAAGGUAUUCAGCCGUCUCUGGCGGUGUAUUUGCCUUUCACGGGUCAACAUCAGUUUGAUCCGGUAGAAAAAGGCGGGAGGAAGGUGGCACCCUCGGGUGUGUUAUAGCCUCCUGUCAUAUGUGCCGGACCAGACUGAGGAACGCAGCUUGCCGCAAGGCCGGGGUUCGCCCACGUACAAGCUUAGGAUGUUGACAUAAUGGCUUUAAACGACCCGUCUUGAAACACGGACCAAGGAGUCUAACAUAUCUGCGAGUGUUUGGGUGUCAAACCCAAGCGCGAAAUGAAAGUGAACGUAGGAGGGAUGCGCAAG
This 695-nucleotide ribosomal RNA is filed under the name Vishniacozyma victoriae. Its description in RNAcentral is "eukaryotic LSU rRNA". It matches the Rfam family "Eukaryotic large subunit ribosomal RNA", at positions 62 to 748 of the family's 3401-position model. The record is from RNAcentral. Lineage: Eukaryota; Fungi; Basidiomycota; Tremellomycetes; Tremellales; Bulleribasidiaceae.